CCUACGGGUGGCUGCAGUGGGGAAUAUUGGACAAUGGGCGAAAGCCUGAUCCAGCCAUGCCGCGUGUGUGAAGAAGGCCUUCGGGUUGUAAAGCACUUUCAGUGGGGAAGAAAGCCUUGGGGCUAAUACCCUCGAGGAAGGACAUCACCCACAGAAGAAGCACCGGCUAACUCCGUGCCAGCAGCCGCGGUAAUACGGAGGGUGCGAGCGUUAAUCGGAAUUACUGGGCGUAAAGCGCGCGUAGGCGGUCUGAUAAGCCGGUUGUGAAAGCCCCGGGCUCAACCUGGGAACGGCAUCCGGAACUGUCAGGCUAGAGUGCAGGAGAGGAAGGGAGAAUUCCCGGUGUAGCGGUGAAAUGCGUAGAGAUCGGGAGGAAUACCAGUGGCGAAGGCGGCCUUCUGGACUGACACUGACGCUGAGGUGCGAAAGCGUGGGUAGCAAACAGGACUAGAUACCCCGGUAGUC
RNAcentral lists this ribosomal RNA (465 nucleotides) under Vreelandella stevensii. RNAcentral describes it as "partial 16S ribosomal RNA". It matches the Rfam family "Bacterial small subunit ribosomal RNA", at positions 338 to 795 of the family's 1533-position model. The record is from RNAcentral. Lineage: Bacteria; Pseudomonadati; Pseudomonadota; Gammaproteobacteria; Oceanospirillales; Halomonadaceae.